RNAcentral lists this transfer RNA (42 nucleotides) under Caiman crocodilus (spectacled caiman). RNAcentral's name for it is "partial tRNA-Arg". Lineage: Eukaryota; Metazoa; Chordata; Crocodylia; Alligatoridae. The record is from RNAcentral.
CACGCCCGACCCUCUAGGAACUAGUCUAAAACAAGACCUCUA